Molecule: ribosomal RNA, 492 nt
Filed under: uncultured bacterium
Lineage: Bacteria
Description: partial 16S ribosomal RNA
Rfam family: Bacterial small subunit ribosomal RNA
Source: RNAcentral
AGUGAACGCUGGCGGUAGGCCUAACACAUGCAAGUCGAACGGCAGCACAGUAAGAGCUUGCUCUUACGGGUGGCGAGUGGCGGACGGGUGAGGAAUACAUCGGAAUCUACUUUUUCGUGGGGGAUAACGUAGGGAAACUUACGCUAAUACCGCAUACGACCUACGGGUGAAAGCAGGGGAUCUUCGGACCUUGCGCGAAUGAAUGAGCCGAUGUCGGAUUAGCUAGUUGGCGGGGUAAUGGCCCACCAAGGCGACGAUCCGUAGCUGGUCUGAGAGGAUGAUCAGCCACACUGGAACUGAGACACGGUCCAGACUCCUACGGGAGGCAGCAGUGGGGAAUAUUGGACAAUGGGCGCAAGCCUGAUCCAGCCAUACCGCGUGGGUGAAGAAGGCCUUCGGGUUGUAAAGCCCUUUUGUUGGGAAAGAAAAGCAGCAGGUUAAUACCCCGCUGUUCUGACGGUACCCAAAGAAUAAGCACCGGCUAACUUCGUG